Molecule: long non-coding RNA, 23669 nt
Filed under: Populus trichocarpa (black cottonwood)
Lineage: Eukaryota; Viridiplantae; Streptophyta; Magnoliopsida; Malpighiales; Salicaceae
Description: long non-coding RNA (PTRI_LNC003435)
Source: RNAcentral
AAGUUGCAGUCAAGCGCUCAUAUGAGAACAAUUAUAAGAGGCUUGAGCAGUUCUUGAAUGAAGUUGAUAUUCUAACUCGCUUGCGCCAUCAAAACCUUGUCUUACUGCAUGGAUGCACCUCUCGGGACAGCCGUGAACUCCUACUAGUAUAUCAGUACAUUCCCAAUGGUACACUUGCUGAUCAUCUUCAUGGUGAAAGAGCAAAGCCUGGUGCACUCCCUUGGUCUACUCGAAUGAACAUUGCUGUAGAGACUGCAUAUGCACUGGCAUAUCUUCAUGCUUCUGUUAUUGUGCACCGUGACGUGAAAACCACCAAUAUUCUCCUUGACAACAAUUUCUGUGUUAAAGUUGCAGAUUUUGGCCUAUCUCGACUCUUUCCUACAGAUGUCACCCAUGUUUCAACUGCUCCACAAGGGACUCCUGGUUAUGUUGAUCCAGAAUAUCAUCAAUGCUACCAGCUGACCGAUAAGAGUGAUGUCUAUAGCUUUGGGGUGGUCUUGAUUGAGCUUAUAUCAUCAAUGCCUGCUGUUGAUAUCUCUAGACACCGGCAUGAAAUUAAUUUGUCUACCAUGGCAAUCAAUAAAAUCCAAAGCAAUUCAUUGAAUGAACUUGUUGACCCCAGUCUGGGGUUUGAAUCAGAUUACGCAGCGAGAAAAAUGAUUAGGGCUGUGGCUGAGUUGGCUUUUCAAUGUCUGCAGAAUGCAAAGGAGUUGAGACCAUCUAUGGAAGAAGUGUUGCAGAUUCUAAAAGAAAUACAAAGCAGAGACUACAAUGCGGAAAAGGCAGAGGAUAUAAAUAGUCCUUCAGAUGAUGUUGGGAUGUUAAAGAGUGGUCCGAUACCGCCUUCACCUGAUACUGUCACUGUUACAUGGAUUAGCACGUCCUCGACACCUCAUGCCAGUGUUUAAUUGUUUCACUAAAUUCUCAAUUACAUAGAGAAGAGAGGCAGGGGACCUAUGUGCACUGAAUAAUGUGAUAGUGCCGCCACUCUCUAUUUAUUUGCCGUUGAUUAGCAUUUGUAUUUUAGCCAGAUGUACAGAAAUUGUUUGUAUUUGCAAAUAUAGAUGUUACCGUGUGUGUGAGACCAUAUUUUGACCGUGUAAUCAUGAGUUUGAAUUUCACGAGAGCUUCAACAGGGCAUUUGCCAGUUUGUUGCAUGUUAGUAGGACCAGAGCAACUAUCUUGAUGUUAGCAACUGCAUUUGUAAAUUCCAAGGGAGAAAAAAAGACUGAUGAUCAAGUUCAUCCUUUUCUCCCUCCGUGAACCAGGUGCAGCUGGAAUGCUGUUCCUAUUGGCUGCAGAUGUACUAUGAAAACGCUACUGGAAAGGAUUGUUCUUAAGUAAUAGAAGGGACGAUACUGAAUUUCACAGCAGAAAUUGUUAAAUGUAAGUUGCCAAUCUGUUCCGCAUAUAAGAAAUUUCAGGAAAAGCCAUUUCACAUCAGUAUGUUUAAAGCAUGAGAACAAUUCUUGACCCAGUAACUGUCACAAAUAUCAAAUUUCAAUGUAAAAUUGUUUUGUGUUUUCAUUGAUUUCUGAAGGAAGAAUUCAGUCUUCUAAAUACAUGUAAUAAUCCCUAAUUUACUGUCUCUAAUCCCUAAUUUGUAGUCUAUAAUAAAUACAAUAAAUACAAGAUAUUCUGUUACAAUUUGGUUGCCAUAUAUUGUUGAUAUUCUUGCCAUAAUAUACACUGACAUCCCCCUUCAAAUUGAAGCUGGCCGAUCAAGAAGCAUCAAUUUGUCAAUGAUGAGUUGAUGUCGAGGCCGAGACAAGGCCUUCGUAAAGACAUCAGCUGUCUGAUGCUCGGUGGAAAUAUGAGGCAGUGUAAGAAUAUUAUGAUCAAGAGCUUCACGAAUGUAGUGACAAUCAACUUCAAUAUGUAUGGUGCGUUCAUGAAACACAGGAUUAGUAGCAAUCUGAAUAGCACUUGUGUUAUCAGCAUGAAGAGGUGUAGGAGUGUGCUGAGGAAAACCAAGUUCACGUAGCAAACCCUGGAGCCACACAAUUUCAGAACAUGCAGAGGACAUAGCUCGAUACUCAGAUUCUGUGGAAGAUUUUGAGAUUCGGUCUUGCUUUUUGCUUUUCCAUGAAAUUAUAGCAUUUCCAAGAAACAUACACCACCUAGUAACAGACCGACGUGUAUUCAUGCACCCUGCCCAAUCUGCAUCACUAUAACCUGUUAAUUGUAAUGAAUUAUCAGCAGGAAAAAAUAAUCCUCGCCUAGAUGUGCCUUUAAGAUAGCAAAGAAUUCUUCGGACAACAGCUAAAUGAGGUUGACGAGGAGCCUGUAAAAACUGACUGACUUAUUGUACUGCAAAAGAAAUAUCUGGCCGAGUAAUGGUUAAAUAAUUCAAACUGCCCACCAAUUGCCUGUAUAUGGAGGGAUCAGGUAACAGGUCACCAUCAUUCUGACAAAGUUUUAAAUUAAUCUCGAGAGGUGUAAGAACGCUAUUCCCUGAUUCAAGACUGCCCAAGAUAAGAAUCUCUUGGGUGUAUUUGUUCUGAUGUAGAGAAAUCCCAUUGGACAUAGAGUGCACCUGUAGACCAAGGAAAUAGUGAAGGUGUCCCAGAUUCUUCAUAUGAAAUUCACUGUUAAGAGAACGCUGUAAAUCCUCAAUGAGUGGAAUGUCAGAUCCUGUAAUGAUAAUAUCAUCCAUAUAUACCAGAAGAGCAACAAUACCAGUAGUAGUUUGCUGAAGAAACAGAGAGGAAUCAUAUUGGCUCUGAAUAAAUUUAAGUUUCAGAUGAGUAGUGCGAAAUUUUUCAAACCAUGCCCGUGGUGCCUGUUUUAGACCAUACAGGGACCGUUUCAACCAGCAGAUUUUAUCAUAUGGGUGAGUAAACAUACCAGGAGGAGGAGCCAUAUAAAUAUUCUCUUUCAGGUCUCCAUGUAAAAAUGCAUUUUUUACAUCCAUUUGACAAAGUGGCCAUCUCUUGGAAGCAGCAAUUGCCAUAAUGGUUCGUAUGGUAGUCAUUUUAGCCAUAGGUGCAAAUGUCUCCUCAUAAUUAAUACCAUAUGCCUGACAAUUUCCAAGAGCCACCAACCGUGCUUUAUAUCGUUCCACAGAUCCAUCAAGUUGGAAUUUAAUAGUGUAUACCUAUUUGCAGCCAAUAGGUUUAAUUCCGAUAGGACAAGAAACAAUAUCCCAUGUGUGAUUAUCCUGAAGAGCCUGGAGUUCCUCUUUCAUGACCUGUUGCCAACAGUCUUGGGUAGAAGCCUGGGCAUAAGUCUUAGGCAUAAAAGUACUAUCAAUAGUAGUUGCUGAGUAUCCAUACCUGUUUGGGGCAUCUGAAACUCGAGUUGAUCAUCUUAGUUUAGGGGAAUGAUCAGAUGUCGGUUCCGUGUCCGGAAGGGGCAAGUGGAUGGUGGAUGACGUCUUUGAUAUACAAUUCCUGGCUUAAAACGUUCAAAGAUAUAAGAUGGACUAUCAUCAUCAAAUGUGGGAAGCUGGAUAGGAGUGGAUUCUGUAGAGGGAUAAGAAGGGAAAAAAUUUCUGAUUUUCAAAGAAAAUCACAUUUCGAGAGAUACGAAUUUUAUGAGCAUUUGCAUCAUAACACACAAACCCUUUAUGAGAAUUACUGUAUCCUAGAAAAGCACAACAAGCAGCUUGGGCUGAAAGUUUAUUACAUUCAGUAAAUGGUAAGUGAACAAAACAAACACACCCAAAAACAUGGAGAGAAUCAUACUCAGGAAUAACACCAAAUAAAAUAGAGUAUGGAGAUGCAAAGUUUAGAACUUGAGAAGGCAAACGAUUAAUUAGAUGAACGGCUGUUGACAGAGCUUCUACCCAAAAUCGAGUAGAUACCGAAGAAUCAAUUAAUAAGGUGCGAACAACAUCUAAAAGAUGACGAUUCUUACGCUCAGCAACUCCAUUUUGUUGAGGAGUGUAAGGACAAGAUCUUUGAGAGAGAAUCCCUUUAUUUUUGAGAUAUUCCUGAAAUUCUUUGGACACAUAUUCCCCCCCCGGAGUCAAAACGAAGUAUUUUAAUAUGAGCAGAAAAUUGAUUUUCAAUAAAUACAAUGAAAGCCUGAAAUGUUGAGAAUACAUCAGCCUUAGAUCAGAGAAAAUAUAUCCAAGUGAAAUGACUGAAACCAUCAAUAAACGUGACAAAAUAUUUAUACUGAGCAUGAGAGAUAACAGGGCUUACGCCCCAUACAUCAGUAUGAAUAAUUUCAAAACAUUUAGAAGCACAACUACCAUGUGAAGGAAAUGAUAAUGCUUUGCUUUUACCCAAUUUGCAAGAACUACAAUCCAAAAAUUCUGUUGAAAAAGAAUUUUUAUUCCCCAAAUAUCCAUGUUUCAUAAGAUGAGUCAAUACAUUAGAAUUGGGAUGCCCCAAUUUCUUAUGCCAAAAAUGAGGAUUUUUAAUGACAGUAGAAUAAACACAAGAAUUAAUACUAGGAAUAGAAAAUUGUAUUGUAAAUAAACAUCCCACUUUAGGCCCCUUCGCGAUCACCUUCCCCGACACUUGAUCCUGCACACAACAACCAUGACGAUCAAAGUGAAUUUCACAGUCAUUUUCUACCAUUUGACCAACAGAGAGUAAACUUGUGGAUAAUUUUGGUGACACAAAAAUAUUUUUGAAAUAAGACCCCAAAUUACCAAUCGAUAAAAUCGGCAGAUUAUCACCAUUUGUUACCUGUAUAAGCUGAUUACCCAUGUAUUUUUGCACAUUAUACAACCCAUUUUCACUGCUGGUCAUGUGAUUCGACGCUGCCGAAUCCAUUAACCAUUGUUUAUUAUGUGCCGAAUCCAAGGGAAAGUUAAGUUUAUUUUUCUUACCAGAAAUCCCGAGUGCAGAGAAGACAGAUAUUAUCAUCUGCUGCACCAUCUUGGGAGUGAGAGUGCUCGACGAAGAGCUCACCGACGCUGAAGAUUCUGGUGUCAACGGUGAGGACAUGGCUGCGGCAGCCAUAGAAGCAGCCCCUAAUUUCGUCUGUAUAGUAAACCCAUAUCAAUUCUAUGGUCGCAGACGACAUUCCUUGAUUACAUGCCCCUCUUUCUUACAAUAAUCACAGAAUUUCUUGCUGCAAUUUCUAGCAAUGUGCCCUAAUUCUUUGCAAUUAAAACACUGCACACUCACACCCCUCUGUCGUCCCCUUCCUUGAGCCAUGUAAACCACAUUCAUCUCUGUGACAGUGUCCUGAGUCCAACUCGUGUUGAGUGGCGAGUCGUUGUUCUUCCCAUAACAAUUCCCCCAAACAUUCAUCCAAAGUGGGUACUGGACUUCGGUUGAUCAAGCUAGUUCUCACGGCCUCAAAUUCUGGCCGGAGCUUCAUCAAGAACUGGUCCCUCUGGCUCUCGGCAUAAACAAGGUAUAGUGCUUCUAAACUCUCCUUCGGUAUUUUAGAGUAAAUUAUGCCAGUAUAUUCACUCCAUAGGUUUAGAAAUCCAGCAUAGAAUUGUUCAAUUGAGAGAUUACCUUGUUUGUAAUUGGCAAUACCCAUUUCGACUUGAAAUGUUUUAGCCGAAUUGUUUUGGGAAUAGAUGCGUCUGAAGUAGUCCCAAAUCUCCUUCCCUGUGCCAAACGAUCGAAGAUUGUUGAUCAUAUGAGGUUCAACAGACCCCAGUAUCCAAGAGACAAUUUUCGCAUCCUUGGUAGUCCAUAUACUCAGCUCCUGUGGAUCGGUUGGUGCUGGUGAAGAUCCAUCGAGAUGCCCCUAUAAUUCCUUCCCUUUAACAAACAUAUGAAACUGAAACUCCCAACUAGCAUAGUUUUUGCUAUUGAAUCGAGUAAGAAAAGCCUCUCCAGACAUCCUAGGAAUCCAAAAAAAAUUACCAAAUACUGACGAAUUCAGUCUGUAGACUAAAGAGAAGAACAAAGAUCUAGAUCAGAAUAAUUGGCUCUGAUACCAUGUCACAAAUAUCAAAUUUCAAUGUAAAAUUGUUCUGUGUUUUCAUUGAUUUCUGAAGGAAGAAUUCAGUCCUCUAAAUACAUGUAAUAAUCUCUAAUUUACUGUCUCUAAUCCCUGAUUUGUAGUCUAUAAUAAAUACAAGAUACUCUGUUAUAAUUUGGUUGCCAUAUAUUGUUGAUAUUCUUGCCAUAAUAUACACUGACAGUAACUAGUUCAAACCUGUAGCUAGGAGAUGGGCAAUGCAGUUGCCAAUCUGUUCAUUACACGUAUAAAUAAAGCUGAAUCUAGUUUUAUUCUCGUGAAUACAUCAGAAAAUCACAUGAGCCACUCAGUUGAUUGAUGUGAAACAUUCCAUUAUCUUCAUACGAUAUUGUGAUACAAGUUCAUGCUAAUGAUGUAGUAGAUGAAUAUGAAAGUAAUAUUGGAGGAGAAUACAGGCGAGGCUUCGGUGGAAUCUUCAAUGCUCCAAGAGGUCCUUCCAACAUUUCUAUCACUUUUCUCAUGGAUGGUCUAUCAGAUGGAUUUGUGAGGAUGCACCAAAAGCCAACUAUUGCUAUUUGCCUCACAAUAUCAGAUUGUUCUGCAUUUGUCGUGCCAUUCAAUUCACACUCAUCAACUAGCUCAAGAUGCUUGUAAAUCCAGUCUGGAAAAUAUUUUUCGCUACUGGAACUCAUUUCAGCUUCAUGAUUCUUUCGUCCUCCAACAAUUUCUAGAGCCAUCAUUCCAUAAUUAUAGACAUCGGACUUGUGUGAAACUUGUCCACAGUUUCUACUGAACACUUCUGGUGCUAUAUAUCCAAUGGUUCCUCUUGCCUCCAAUAGCGAUACAUUGAUCUCCUUCCUAGCGCAUGGCUUCGCAAGUCCAAAGUCGGAUAUUGUUGAAUUCAUGUCUCAGAAGCUGCUGACAAAGAAGCUGCUGAUGAAGAAACAGCUGAUGUGGAAUCUGCUGAUGUGGAAGCUGUUAUGAGUUUUAGUUUUAAUAAAACACUAGCUAUUUGAAUUAGUCAAUUUCUGUUAGGAUUGAUAUAAUCCUUUUGUUUAAUUAUUAUCCUUUGAAUUCUGUUACGUAACAGCAAGAGAUUAUGUUGCUGUUACUUGCUUUUAAAGCUUUACUUUUCAAUGUUUUCCAAAAAGCUGUAUAAUCAAUAAAACAGAGAUCAAGAAGUCGAUAUUCAUUCUCUUUUGCAUUUUCAUUUGUUAAAAUCCAACAAAUUGGUAUCAGAGCCGAUUUUUUUCUUGAGAGAUCUGUGAGACAAAGAGAGCCUAAACACUUACCCUAAACACUUACCAUUCUUCUAAAAAACCAAUCAAAACAAAAUGAAUUCAGAAGCCUCCGUAAAUUUAAUGGCACCACCAAUAUUUGAUGGAACAAACUAUCAAGUUUGGGCUGUUCGAAUGGAAGCUUAUCUUGAUGCAAAUGAUCAGUGGAAGCCGUUGAAAACACAUAUGAGGUUCCUCUUUUGCUUGACAAUCCAACUAUAGCUCAAAUGAAAAAUCAUAAGGAGAGUAAGCAAAAGAAAUCAAAGGCAAAAGCUAGCCUAUUUGCAGCUGUCUCAUCUUCAAUCUUCACCAGAAUCAUGACUCUGAAGACAGCAAAUGAGAUAUGGAACUUUCUAAAAAAGGAAUAUGAAGGGAAUGAACGAGUGAAGGGCAUGCAAGUUUUAAAUCUCAUCAGAGAAUUUGAGAUGCAAAGAAUGAAUGAAUCAGAAACCAUCAAGGAUUACUCUGACAGACUUCUUGACAUUGUAAACAAAGUAAGACUUCUUGGUACUGAAUUUACUGAUUCUAGAAUUGUUCAGAAAAUUCUUGUUACAGUCCCUGAAAAAUUUGAAGCUACAAUAUCAUCAAUAGAAAACUCAAAGGAUGUAUCAAGCAUCACUUUGGCAGAGCUAAUGAAUGCACUGCAGGCUCAAGAACAAAGAAGACUCAUGAGGCAAGCAGGUUCUGUGGAAGGUGCUUUUUUUGCAAAAUCACAGAACAACAUACAACAAAGAAACAGAAAUUACAGCAACAGCAACACAACAUUUCCAUUGUGUUCUUACUGCAAAAAAUCCAACCAUCCACAGAGCAGAUGUUGGUGGAGGCCGGAUAUAAAAUGUCACAAAUAUGGACAGCUAGGACACAUUGGAAGGGUAUGCAAAUCUCAACAACAACAGCAGCAGCAAGGAGAAGUCAAAACUGUUGUUGAACAACCUGAAGAAGAACAACUGUUUGUAGCAUCAUGUUUUGUUGCCAAUAACUCAACAGAGAGCUGGCUUAUAGACAAUGGUUGUACCAGCCACAUGACCUAUGAUAAAGAGCUUUUCAAAAGGCUCGACAGAACAGUUAUUUCCAAAGUGAGAAUUGGAAAUGGGGCAUGUCUUGCAGUAAAGGGUAAAGGAACGGUGGCAAUCAAAGGCAACACAGGUUUAAAAUUAAUUUCUGAUGUCUUAUAUGUUCCUAAAAUUAAUCAAAUUCUUUUAAGUGUUGGUCAGCUGCUUGAGAAAGGAUAUAAGGUGCUGUUUGAAGACAAGUUUUGCUUGAUGACUGAUGCACAAAACAAAGAAAUAUUUAAAAUUCAGAUGCAAAGUAAAAGCUUUGCCUUGAAUUUUACAGAAGAAGAACAAGCAGCAGUACAUGAAGAAAAUAGCAGUACAAUGCUUUGGCAUAGAAGAUUGGGGCAUUUUCAUCAUACAGCUAUACUCUUUAUGAAAAACAACAAUCUUGUGAAGGCCUACCUGAUUUAGAAGAAGAUCUUCCAUUGUGUGCAGCCUGUCAGUAUGGGAAGCAGACAAGACUCCCAUUUCCACACAAUAAAAGCUGGAGAGCUACACAGAAACUACAACUAGUGCACACUGAUGUGGGAGGACCUCUGAAAAUAUCAUCAUUAAACGGCAGUAAGUAUUACAUUACUUUCAUUGAUGAUCAUACAAGAAUGUGCUGGAUUUAUUUCAUGAAGUAUAAAUCUGAAGUUGCUGAUAUCUUCUGGAAGUUCAAAGCUUGGGUGGAAAAACAAAGCACACACAAAAUGCAGGUGGUCAGAUUAGACAAUGGAACAAAAUAUACCUCAGAAAAAUUCAACAAGUUCUGUGAAAAGGAAGGCAUUGAACAUCAGCUGACAGCACCUUAUACCCCUCAGCAAAAUGGGGUUGUUGAGAGAAAAAACAGAACACUCAUGGAGAUGACAAGGUGUUUAUUACAUGACAAAGGAUUGCCAAAGAAUUUAUGGGCUGAGGCUGCAAAUACAACAGUGUUUCUUUUGAACAGAUUGCCAACAAAAGCUCUGUAACAGAAAACUCCAUUUGAGGCAUGGUAUGGCUAUAAACCAAAGUUGCAAAAUUUAAAAACUUUCGGUUGUCUUUGUUUCUCUUACAUUCCACAGGUCAAAAGAGACAAACUUGAUAAAAAGGCAGAACCUGGAAUCUUUGUAGGCUACAGCUUAGUAUCCAAAGCCUACAAGAUUUAUCUUCCACAAGACAACAAAGUGAUUGUGAGCAGAAACAUCCAAUUCUUUGAGUCAGAAAGCUGGAACUGGGAGAAAAAUAAGCUUGAAUUUCAAGAGGAGAAUGCUGAUGUUGAUGAUGAAUCUGUUACAAAAAUCAGAUUGCUUUCUGAUAUCUAUCAGAGUUGCAAUGUGGCAUUAAUUGAACCUGCAGGAUAUGAAGAAGCUGCUGCAGAUCAACAUUGGAUGGCUGCAAUGAAGGAGGAGCUUAUGAUGAUUGAGAAGAAUCAGACUUGGUUGCUUGUGAACAGACCUGCACAUAAAAAGGCCAUAGGAGUCAAAUGGGUUUAUAGAACCAAGUUCAAUGCUGACGGUUCUAUAAAUAAACACAAAGCAAGACUUGUUGUCAAGGGAUAUGCUCAGAUGUUUGGGGUGGAUUUUUCUGAAACCUUUGCUCCGGUUGCUAGGCUUGAUACUAUAAGAAUGCUGCUUGCUUUUGCUGCUCAAAAUGGUUGGACUAUACAUCAAAUGGAUGUCAAAUCUGCUUUUUUAAAUGGAUAUUUGGAGGAGGAAAUAUUCGUGGAGCAGCCUAAAGGUUUUGUUGUUCAAGGAGAAGAGGAGAAAGUAUAUUUGCUGAAAAAGGCUCUCUAUGGUUUAAAGCAAGCACGAAGGGCUUGGUACAGCAGGAUUGAUGCUCAUUUGUUAGACUUAGGCUUUACAAAAAGUCUAAGUGAAUUUACACUCUAUCUCAGAAAAAUCAAUGAUGAAUUGCUUGUGGUUUCUCUUUAUGUGGAUGACUUACUUGUGACAGGAAGUAACAUGGAGCAGAUUGAUGUGUUCAAAAGAGAAAUGAAGAAAGUCUUUGAAAUGACUGACUUGGGAAAGAUGACAUUCUUUCUCGACAUGGAAGUUCAACAAAAGCAGAAUGAAAUCUUCAUAUGUCAGCAAAAAUAUGCCAAAGAGAUUUUAAAGAAGUUCAACAUGGAAGAGUGCAGAUCAACAGCAACACCAAUGAAUCAAAAGGAGAAAUUUUGCAAAGAAGAUGGAGCUGCAAAGAUUGAUGAAACACUCUAUAGAACCUUAAUAGGAUGCUUGAUGUAUCUUACUGCAACAAGACCCGACAUUAUGAAUGCUACAAGUAUACUUUCAAGGUAUAUGCAUUGUGCAAGUGAAAUUCAUUUUCAGGCAGCAAAAAGAAUUGUCAGAUAUAUUAAGGGAACAAUUGACUAUGGAUUGAAGUUCUGUCAAGUCAAAAACUCUAUACUCCAUGGUUAUUCUGACAGUGAUUGGGCCAACUGUGUUGAUGAUAUGAGAAGCACUUCAGGUUAUUGUUUUAGUUUUGGUUCUGCCAUUUUUUCGUGGAGUUCAAAGAAGCAAGAAGUCAUUGCUCAAUCCACAGCUGAGGCAAAGUAUGUUGCUGCUACUGCUGCUGUGAAUCAGGCUAUUUGGAUUAGAAAGUUAAUGGCUGAUCUGCAGAUGGAGCAAAAGGAAAGCACACAAAUACUUGUAGACAAUCAAGCUGCAAUUGUAAUUGCAAAAAAUCCUGUGUUUCAUGGCAAAACGAAACAUUUCAAACUGAAACUCUAUUUCCUAAGAGAAGUUCAAAGAGAAGGUGAAAUACAGCUAAUCUAUUGCAAAACAGAAAAUCAAAAUGCUGAUAUUCUGACCAAGCCGCUUCCUCAAGCAAAGUAUGAAUUCUUUAGGCAGAGACUUGGAGUCUGCAGCUUCAGAGCCAAAGAGGAGUGUUGAAUUCAUGUCUCAGAAGCUGCUGAUAAAGAAACAGCUGAUGUGGAAUCUGCUGAUGUGGAAGCUGUUAUGAGUUUUAGUUUUAAUAAAACACUAGCUAUUUGAAUUAGUCAAUUUCUGUUAGGAUUGAUAUAAUCCUUUUGUUUAAUUAUUAUCCUUUGAAUUCUGUUACGUAACAGCAUGAGAUUAUGUUGCUGUUACUUGCUUUUAAAGCUUUACUUUUCAAUGUUUUCCAAAAAGCUGUAUAAUCAAUAAAACAGAGAUCAAGAAGUCGAUAUUCAUUCUCUUUUGCAUUUUCAUUUGUUAAAAUCCAACACAUAUCUUAGGGGGAAAAUCUGCAUCAAGAAGAAUGUUACGAGGGUUAAUGUCAAAAUGCACAAUCCUUGUAUUGCACCCUCGAUGCAAAUACUCAAGCCCUCGAGCAACGCCAAUUAAAAUCUGGUACAAUUUAAUCCAUCCCAGCUGUUGAUUGGCUUGCAAAGCAUUUUCAUGAUUUAUGAACUUUUCAAGCGAUCCAUUGACCAUGAAGUCAUAAAUGAGAACUCUUUUGUCACCCUCCAAACAAAAUCCCAGUAGAGUGACAAUAUUGACAUGGGAAGUUUUACUAAUGCUUGCAACCUCAUUUAUGAAUUCUUCCCCGUCCCCUUUUGAAGCUUGCAUGACCUUCACUGCCACCAGAUGGCCAUCCUGUAGCUUUCCUUUGUAAACAAUUCCAUAGCCUCCUUGACCAAGUUUAUCUUUGAAAAAAUUGGUCAUUUUCUUAACAUCCGACAGAUUGUAUCUUUUCAGAGCUAGUGGUCGGUGGUUUCUUAUGAAAACCUCAAGAUCUUGAUUAUGUUUCUUCUUUAGAAAAAUAGGUGUGGUAGUUGAUGAGGCCUUCCUUCUGGAAUAAAGAAUCACGCAGAUGAAUAAAAUUCCUGCUGAUCCAAAGAGAACACCUCCCAGUUGAGGAGGCUGAUGAGUUACUUGGGGACUGACAUUGUCAUGAUACAAAAACAGCAGCAGAAACAGAAAAAUGUUCUCUUGAUUCAGCAGGAACAAGGAAAGCUUUCAAAAAAUAAAUUCAGACAAGUAAUGAAUUUGCUGAGGAGGAGACAGACCAAGCAUAAAUAGUGCCAAAGUGUUGUUUACUUAAAUAUUUUGUGUAGCCAAACCAGUCUGAACAAAGCAGAGCUAAAUUGCAAGGGAAAAAAAUAAAAUUAAAUCACCAACUCUCUCUGUUGAAAGAUGAAUAUGAUCCCCUAAUUUAAAAUUAAAGAUCUACAGUUGUUGAGUGUGGAGACGAACUCCCACAAUCCUAGCUUUGAUGAGAUGUAAACAAGGCUUGAAGAGAGGCUGAAAUGGAGGAUUUGAAAUGGGCUGAAAUCAUGGCUAAUUGUCUGCCAUUGAUGCUAGGAUUGGGGACAGAAAUGGGAAUGUUCGUCCCGCCCAUUUCCACUAUAAAUAGAGCCAAUACAAGUACCAAUACUAGCAGUAGCAAGAGAAAGAAGCUGCCAUGGGCAGCAGCAGCAGUAGCAUAGAGUAGGAGAGAUGUGAUACACGAGUGGGGGUAGAGUAGAGGGAGUUCCUCCUCCUCCAUUGUUGUAUCUUUGUAAUUUCUCUCUAUAUAAUGAUAUUGGCUGCCCGGUUGACAAAGGUGAGUUGCCGAACCACGUCAAAUUGUGUUUAGGAUCCGGGCAAAGUUCAACCAAUCAUAACAACAGUGACUUCUAUUUGUUGGCGUAGAAAAAUCACCAGCCAGAUGGUUUCAGUAUAAACACGAAUUCAAUUAUUUGCACCAGAAUUUGAAUCACACACAUCAUCAUGAUUAUACUGAAAUAGCUAUACAGAGAAGGCGAGGGACUGAUGAACAUUCUGAAUUCCAGCUCAGUUAGAACGAUAAUGAAGAGGAAAAGGCACACAGCACUCAGUAAGGAUCAAAGCAGGAAGAGGUCAGGGGACUAUCUUACCAAUAAUAAUAAUAAUAAUAAUAAUCUCCCGUCCGACAUUAAGACUUGAGCCUGCGGAACAAUUCAAGUGGAGUAAUGCAUUAGUGUGAGAUGGGAGCAGCUUUACAUGUAGAAGAAAAUCUGAACAAAACGUAUUCUUUCAUAUCCUGAAAUCUUAUGAUAUUAUAGAAGUGAUAAACAGAGAAAAUGACGAGGAAAAAUGAAACCAUAAAUAUAUAUACUCCGGAUACUUAUUUCGAAAACAACAUGAUUUAAAAGCGUUGCAGUGUUUCCUACAUAUUGCAGCAACAGAGGAAAAUGAGUAAUCAAAUAAAGAACGCAUGACGCUGAAAGAAACCAACACCAUUAAUCAUAAAGAAUAUUUGAUGAAGAGUUACCAGCAUCGCAAGAUUUGAGACGAGGCCCAUCACGGCAAAAACAAUUGAAUUCAUUAUUCUCAAAUCCACAACGCCCACCACUUCUCUCACAAGUGCUACAAUCAUGAGCAGUCCAGUUCAUAAGGAACCCCAUCUUCAAAACCUCACGAUAAUUUUCUCCAAGCAGACUACCAAUAUCUUCAAAACCUCACGAUAAUUUUCUCCAAGCAGACUACCAAUAUCUUCACCAGUGUGGAUAGGAGCAUUAGCAAAAUCCUGGCAUGAAUUCAAUAAGUAAAUGUUGGGCAUCUCUGUUUCUUCCAAGUGAAAACCGGCAAUAGAAUAAUGUGUAGAAUUUGUGGCACAACUUAAUGCAUAGAGAGUGUAGUAAUCUUCGGGCUUUAAUGUACAAUUGUAGAAGAAGGAGAAAUUAGUAUAGCCAGGACUAAUAGUAAGGGGUGUUCUAUCAAGGCUAAUGUUAUGCAAAAGAGGUGGACAGGUUUCCUCAUACACAGCAGCAUUAGCCACGCGCAUAGAAUUAGUGGCGUAAGAGAUAUCUUUAAGAUAUAAACAUCAUUGGAAAUUGUGAGUGCUGGCCUUCUGUCACUGCAGGUGAGCAUAAAAUUUGGAUGGCCACAAAAGGGUUCUUGUUCUUGAGAUAGCCAAAAAGGGCAGCUUAUGUUAGGGCCAGCACCACAGUUUUUUGGUUCACAAGACUUAAACUUUGGAUGCUGUGAUACAGUUUGGGUGGCCAAGUAUGUGAAAAGAAAGAUACAGUUGUAGAUAGAAAGAAGCUUUUUGAAUGCGAAGGAGUUAUUGGGAUCCAUUUGGAGAACUCAAAAACAGAUGAAGAAAGGGGAGACAGAAGGAUUUGAAACAAAGUUCCUACGUAGAUGGUAAGACUUGGUUUGAAGAGUCUCUGUAUGGCUUGAUUGAAAAAGGAGGGAAAGGACAAAAACAAUCCAAUUUGUCCAAGCAGAAGCAAGUUGCUUGCUAUUUCAUCGACCUGGGAAAGUCUAUAAUAGUCAUGUGUGGUGGCUACGAGUCUUGUAAUAACUAGAUUUUAACCCUCUAUUUAAAAAAAAAAUCCAAAAAAAUAUCUUUUCAGCAUUUUUAGUUAUUUAUUUAUUUUGUGUGUUAAAAAAUCUUAAAAUUUAUAUAAAAAAAUUAAUACAAAAUACAAAAAUAAAAUAAAUCUAAAAAUAAUUGAGCAUCACGGGCGAAGAUAGAGAUUGAGAAUUUAGAGGUCAUAAUUGAGGCCUGAAUUAAAAAGAAAAUUGAAAAUAGAUUAACUUGAUUUAAUUUCUCUAUGAGUAAAAGAAAUUUGAAGUUUAAUAAUAAUUAUGAAACAAAUAGCUAGAUUACAAAUCAUUGAAGAGUUUAAUUAAAAAAAAUCAAAAUUGAAAAUUAGAUUGGUUAAAAUUACAUGAUUUUAAGGAUAAGGAUAAAUUUGCAACAAAUAAUUAAAUUUUAAGAUCUAUAUUGAUUUCAUUAUAGAUACAAUUGAAAAGGAUAAAUUGAAUGAGAUUGUAAAACUUCAUGCAAUUGAAAAGGGUAAAUUGAAUGAGAUUGUAAAAAUUCAAAAUCCAAGCACUUCAAUGAGAAUAAUAAAAGCUUGUUUGAAUGUUUAUUUCAGUCCAUUUAAUUCAAUCCAGUCCAAAUUAAUUCAUUGAUUUCAUUCAUGUUAGUCCAAUUAAACUAAUUUGAUUCAAUUCAGUCUCAAGUUAAUUCAAUGUCAAUUAAUUAAUAUCAAUCUAGUCCUAUUGUGUUCAAUUCAUUCAUUUUUAGCCCAGAAUCCAUAUAAUCAAGCAAUCUCCGGCUAUUAAUCCCAGAUUUCAAAUUUUCCGAUUGAAGAUUUCAAUCCUAUAUUUUGAGCUCCCAAAAUCCAGCAAUCAAUAUCCCAAUCCCAUGAUUAUAGCCCAAAUCUGCAGUCAAUUCCCAAAUCAAAUCCCAAAUCAUUCUAAAAGACACAGGAACAAUCGAACACGGGAGGAUGAGCAUUCAGCAUUUUUCCAGCUCUCAACACAAUAAAAAAACCAGAGAAAAAAAUUCCAUUCCUCACGGCCAUAAUCAUACACUGCCAAGACCAAAAAAUACAAUACUUUUCAUAGAUCAAGUAGUUAUGGAAAUGAACGAAAUUAGAUAUAAUUUUAAGAAGGUAAUGGCACCCAAAUUUUUAGAUUUUUUUUUUAAGUUGUAGCUCUAUUUUAAGGAUUUUUUUUUCAUUCUAAAUAUGCAUUUUCCCCUCAAAAAGUAUCCUUUUUUGACCUUGCCUGAGUCGUCUUCUAUAACUCAACUUGAUGAUGAGAAAAGCAUAUGAUAUUGCACCUCAUCGUGCAGCCUCUUGAAUUCCGCAGCCCUAACUGGACCAUAUUACGGUGUUAUCUGAUACAGUGGAAAGUCGUCGAAAAAUAUUACAAUUUCAGAGAUAUACUCUUUAUUUUUCUGCCCUUUUCAACAUUGAAGGGCAUAAGGUUUCUGACCUACUAAAAUUUCAAACAAAAUAAUUUCUUUAUGUGCUUGCAUUAAAAAUAAAAGUAAUCACAGAACCAAACAAUCACCAGUGAUGCCUAACGCUCCCAGGUAUCUCUCUUGUGCACCCCUCCUGUAGCUCUCUUGUGCACCAAGCACAGUCCAAAAAUGUUUCGACUGCCAACUUGGAGGUCAAUGGUCAACUUUGAUCUUAUAUAUAUAUAUAUAUAUAUAUAUAUGUAUUUUGUCUGUGUCAAAACAAGUAAGGGUCCCUUUGUUUACAAUACAUGGCACAAAGCAUCGACCUUCCUCUCUCUUUCAUUUCCUACAAAAUGAUGGAACAAUCUAUGGGUUGAGCCACCAGUUAAAUCCCCUUCUCCUCGUUAAAGAGAGUCUCUUCACGUUUUCAAAAAAAAAAAAAAAUGGUUGCCCGUCUCUCUCUCUAUCAACACCACCCCAUUAUCACAACCGUCUUCUCUGUCCUAAUAAUCCUUGUAUCAACCUCCUAUGGAGAUGAUGAUAAGGAUUACACAGAUUGCGAUAAGCCCUUUAGUUGUGGACUCUUGCCGGAACUUUCUUACCCUUUUUGGGGAGGUGAUCGACCUGAAGUUUGUGGACACAAGGGGUUCAAGCUCAAGUGUGAAGAAGGUCAGCUCCCUAUAAUAGCCAGCGACACGCUUGAAUUUCGCUUAUUGAAUCUAAAGCAAUCUUCCAGGUUGAUGGCUCUUCAGCUAGUGAAUUUCGAGGAGUACAUUUGUCCUACUCAAAUAAGAACCAAUUCAAGCAGUGGCAGCGACAUCCAUAUUUUCGGUUAUGACCUGAGCCUUCAAAACCUCAACUUACUCUACAAUUGCUCUAUGUCUAGCUCGACAGUUAACAGAAUUUCGUUUUGUAAUGGAUAUACUGGGAGCUCAUUCUAUGGAAAUGAUGAUAUCUUGGCAAACAGUAGUGGGCUAGACGUACGUAAUGCAAUGUAGCAUGAGGAUUAGAAUUCCCAUUGCUAAGUCUUUUGGUGAGCUACUUGUGGGUGAUAGACCAGAAUUGGAGGAGGUUUUAGGAGAAGGGUACAAUGUGUCGUACGAGUAUGAUCAAGGUCCUUCAAUUUGCGAGAGGGAUGUAUGGCUUCAAGAGGAAUAUGUGGAACUAACAUGACCCAUCCGGAUAAAGAGUUCAUGUGCCUUUGCCGUGACCAACCUUAUGCUUUUGUGUGUCAAGGUAAGCUCGGCAUGCCUCACUCUCUCUCCUUUUUUCCCCUUGUUAAUUACUAGUACCUAUUCAACCUAUUGCGUUUCAUGUUAUUUGCCAGGGUAAUGAAGUUAGUGAGGGGAAAUUAGGGUUGAUAAUUAGGAUAAAAGUACUUGGGGGCUCUGUUCUUAAUCAAAAUUUUAUAAGGACGUCGUAGUAAUAGGACACAAUCACAAGAGCAAACAGCCAGGUGUAUAUGGAACAUUUGGUAGAUUUUGGUAUGCCUGAAAAUAUUGAUUCUACUGGAUUGGACAAAUAAUUAUUUUGUUUUGUAUUUGGUGUGAUUUGCAUUGGAUUGGAUAAUUUGUUUUAUUUUAUGUUUGCUAGACAUUAGACUGGACUUGACCAGCUUAAGGUUUAGACCGUUCCAAGUUUUUUUAAAAAUAGAAGAAUGAUUGAUCCGACAUGAUCCGAUCAAAAACUCGGGUCAACCUAUGACCUAGUCUACUCGGGAUAAAACACAGGUAAAAAAUCCAUUGACUUUUUUUAUAUAUAGUCGAAAUGAGGUUGCACGUUGAUUUUUUUAAAAAAAUUUAGGUUAACCCAUGUUGACCCUCCCAAGCCGUGACUUAGGUCUUACCCAAGUCGAACUCAUUAUGAUAAUAACAAUUAUUAUUUUUAUGUUGCUUUGGGUCAACCUAGGUUGACCAUCCUAAACCAUAGCUUGAACCUUGUCCUAGGUCGACCUCUUAGUUGAGUUUUAAAAUUAUGAUAAUAAUCAUUUUUAUCUUUACAUUGAUUCAGAUCAAUGUCAACUUGACCCAUGACCCAAGUCUAGCCCCGGGUCAACCUCUUAGUUGAGUUUUAAAAUUAUGAUAAUAAUUAUUUUUAUCCUUACAUUGAUUAGGGUUAAUGGUCAACCUGACUCAUGACCCAAGCCUAGCCUCGGGUCGAUCCUCAAUUAGGAUUUUAAAACUAUAAUAACAAUCAUUUUAUUUUUAUGUUGAUUCGAGUCAAUGAUCAAACUAGCCCGUGACUCGAGCCUGGCCCCAAGUUGACUCCCGAAUCGGUUUAAAGAUUAUGGUAAUAAUAAUUUGUAUCCUUAUAUUGACUCGAGUAAAUAAUCAUCCCGACCUGUGACCCAAACAUAUUCAGCCCGGACCUGCUCCCAAGUUGAGUUUUAGAACUCUAAUAAUUAUUAUUUUAUCUUUACAUUAAUACGAGUCAAUAGUCACCCUGAUUUGUGACCUGGACUUGAUCACAAGUCUAUCUCCAAAUUAAAUUUUAAAACUAUAAUAAUAAUUAUUUUUAUUUUUAUAUUUAUCCAAGUAAUUCCUUAAAGUAUUAUAAUGUCUAGUUUAUCAUGGUGUUCAUUAGAAACACUUCCUUAGGGAAUUCCCCAAGGUAAAACCCUAACUAAACCAAAUUCUCUGGUUAAUUAGAACACAGUAGAAAUCAAUUAAUUCUGAGUUUUGUCUUGGAGUCUAUAUAUAUAUAUAUACGAGAUUACUUGCCCGCGCGCUGCCGCGGGCUUAUAAAACAAAUGCACUUGAUAGUGUUAUAAUUGUGAACCAGUGCUAAAUAAGUAAUAGAAAUUAAAGGUAUGAUGGAGCAAAUAUUUCAUGACGGAAAAAGAAGUUGGGCUGGUGAUCAAAAACUUAGAGACUGAAUAAAAUGAUUUGUAGCAAUCUACAGUGUUUUGUGAGGAAAGAUACAGUGAUUUCGCCACAUGAUUUAGCUUUUGAGUUAAUAAAAAGCAAAAAAAAAAAAUACAAAGCUAAAUUCUCUACCAACUUAAUAUUAAAAAAAAACCAACAAAGAUAAUUUUGGAAGGAAAAAAACCCAUGAGAAAAGAUGUUGCAGUAAUUGACAAUGUUUUGUGAGGAAAAUUACAGCGUUUUUCCCAAUAAAAUAAACUAAAAAACUAUUUAGAGAAAUAUUAUAGCAAUCCACAGUGUUUUGUGAGAAAAACUACAACGCUUUUCUCAUAUGAUUUAACUUUAUUGUAAUUAUAAUUCUUAAUCAACUCAAUAUUAAAAAAAAAAUCGACAAAGAUAAUUUUGGAAAAAAUCAUAAAAAAAUCACAUGGAAAAACACUACAACAAUUCACAGUGUUUUAAAUAAAAAAAAUAACAAAGCUAAAUUCUUAAUCGGCUCAAUAUUAAAAAAAAAAUCAACAUAGAUAAUUUUAGGAAAAAAAAAAACAAACACCAAAAAAAGGGGGAAAAAUCAUGUUGGAAACACUGUAGCAAUUCACAGUGUUUUGUGAUGAAAGCUACAGUGCUUCCCCACAUGAUUUAGCCUUAUUUGUAAUGACUUGUAAUUGUAAUUCACAAACAACUCAAUAUCAAAAAAAUAAAAUUGAAAAAGAUAAUUUGAAAAAAAUUAUAACAAAAAAAACUAUGCGGAGAGACACUAUAGCAAUCCACAAUGUUUUAUGAGCAAAGCUACAAUACUUUCCCCACAUGAUUAAGCUUUAUUACAAAGUUAAAUUUUAACCAACUCAAUAUUUAAAAAAAUAAAAUCGACGAAAAUAAUUUUGGAAAAAAAUAUUACAAAAAAAGAAAACACAAAAGAAACUGGAAAAAAACUAUGUGAGGAAAAACUGUAUCAAUCCAUAGUGUUCUUUGAGGAAAAACUUGUAUUUACUUGUAAUUACAAUUCUUAACCAGCUUAAUAUUUAAAAAAUAAAAUUGACAAAGAUAAUUUUAGGGAAAAACAUAACGAAAACAGAAAAAAAACCAUGUGGGAAAAAACACUGUAGCAACCAACAGUAAUUUUCGAGGAAAGUUAAAGUGCUUUCCUCACAUAUUGUAACUGUAAUUUUUAACCAGCUCAAUAUUAAAAAAUAAAAUAAAAAAAGAUAAUUUUAGAGAAAAUCAUAAAAAAAAUCAUGCAGAGAAACACUGUAGCAAUAAACAAUGUUUUAAAGAAAAAAAUUACAAAACUAAAUUCUCAAUCAGCUUCAUAUUAAAAAAAAUUGAAAAAUAUAAUUUUUUAAAAUAAAGAAAUAAAAUAGAAAAACUAUGUGGAAAAACAUCGCAUCAAUCCACAGUAUUUUCAAGAAAAAAAUUACAAAGCAAAAAUUUUAACCAGGUCAAUAUUUAAAAAGUAAAAUCAACAAAAAUAAUUUUGAAAAAAACAAAAGAAAAAAUAAAUGAAAAAAAAUUAGGAAAGUUGAAAAAAAAAAUAAUUUUGAAAAACAAAUUUGAAAAAAAAACGAAAAAAAAAGGGAAAAGUAAAAAAAAAAAAUAGAAAAAAAUCACUGUAGAUUACUAUUGUAAUCCACAGUGAAAUGUGUGUGGGGGAACAGACACGGUUUAGUAUAUGUGUUAAUUUGUGGCUAGUUAACAAUGGUUUCUAUUUUCUUCUUGACAGUAAUGUUUUCUUAUAAUAAACUUCAGCUUGGUUUCCUUAACAAAGGCCAGACCCAAAACUUCCUUGAGCCUGACCAAAACUCAUGGGCUCAGUCCAGUCCUCUCCUAAGGCAACACCACAGCUCAAUUCUUAGGUAUCUAGCGGAUCAUUUCUCAAAGGGAGUUGCAAAAGAGCUGUCCACUUCCGGUUCAACUAACCACUCCUGACUUAAAAGUCAACCACUCAAACCUUCAAUUUCAAUAUUAAUUGCUUGAUGUUUAUUAUUUUUAAUUAUUUUUUAAGAUUUUUUUUAUUUAAAAAUAUAUUAAAAUAUGUUUUUCUUUUUAAAAUUUAAUUUUGAUAUUAACAUAUCAAAACAAUUAAAAAAUACAAAAUAAAAUUUUAAUUUGAAACUAAAAGCAAAAUAUUUUAAGAAAUUAAAAAAAGACAGUUGUAUCGCAAUGUUAAUCACGAGAUUCACUGCAUUCUCAAAAUAGAUUUUUAUCAUCUUAUUGGUAAUUCUAAUGAGCAUUCUUAUUAGAAUUGAGUUUCAACAUGGUUAUUUUUUGUUAAAAUUUGAUUUUUUAAAAUUAAUUUUUUAGUGUUUUUAGAUUGUUUUGAUGUGUUAAUUUCAAAAAUAAAUUUUAAAAAAUAAAAAAAAAUAUAUUUUAAAAUAAAAAAUAUUUUAAAAAAUACUAAUACUAUUAAAUUUUUGUCAUUUUUACGUAUCAAAACUCCUUGUAUAUCCUCUGAAACCUGGGAAAACUAUUGACGAAUUCUAUAAAAUAAAAAGAAAAGUCAUUGUCUUUUCCAUCAAAAUAUCCUAUCCUCUGACAUUGAAAGCAGAAUUGAUAUUGAAGAGUCGGCCAAUCCGCGUCGCAAGUCGUUUAACGACUACACUAGAAUUCUGAUGUCUGGUAAUAUUAUUAUUUACCCCAUGCCAUGAUUAGGCACCACCCAAGACUGGACCAGUCGUCAUUUAGACUCAUUGCUCAUAGCAACCACACAAGAUUUUGUGGACUUUUCUAGGUUGAUGAAAUAGCAAGCAACUUGCUUUUGCUUUUGCUUCCACAAAAUGGUUUGUUUCUGUCCUUCCUUCCUUUUUCAAUCACGAAUAAACGAAAGCAACAACGUUAGCCAAUUCAAAGACUCUUAAAGCCAAGUCUUACCAACUACAUAGGAACUUUGUUUCAAACCCUUAUGUCUCCCCUUUCUUCCUCUGUUUUUGAGCACUCCAAAUGGAUCCCAAUAACUCCUUCGCAUUCAGAAAGCUUCUUCCUAUCUACAACUGUAUCUUUCUUUUCACAUACUUGGCCAACCAAACUGUAUCACAGCAUCCAAAGUUCAAGUCUUGUGAACCAAAAAACUGUGGUGGUGCUGGCCCUAACAUAAGCUACCCUUUUUGGCUAUCUCAAGAACAAGAAUCCUUUUGUGGCUAUCCAAAUUUUAUGCUCAACUGCAGUGACAAAGGGCCAGUACUCGCAAUUUCCAAUGAUGUUUAUAUCAUUAAAAGUAUCUCUUAUGCCAAUAAUUCUUUGCUUGUGGCUAAUGCUGCUGUGUAUGAGGAAACCUGUCCAACUCCUUUGCAUAACAUUAACCUUGAUAGAACACCCUUUACUAUUAGUCCUGGCUAUACUAAUCUCUCCUUCUUCUACAGUUGUACCUCAAAGCCCAAAGAUUACAACUAUCUCUAUAAUUUAAGCUGUGCCACAAAUUCUACACAUUAUUCUUUUGCCGGUUUUCACUUCGAAGAAAUAGAGAAGCACAGCAAUUACUCAUUGAAGUCAUGCCAUGAUUUUGUUAUUGCUCCUAUCCACACUGGUGAAGAUAAUGGUAGUCUGCUUGGAGAAAAUUAUCGUGAGGUUUUGAAGAUGGGGUUCCUUAUGAAUUGGACUGCUCCUAAUUGUAGCACUUGUGAGAGCAGUGGUGGGCGUUGUGGGUUUGAGAAUCAUGAAUGCAUUUGUUUUUGCCGUGAUCGGCCUCGUCUCAAAUCUUGUGAUGCUGGUAACUCUUCAUCAAAUAUUUCGUUUAUCCCAUCAUCCUUGCUAUGUAUUUUUUCUAUUUCCUAACAAUGGCAAAUUCUCGGGGAGGACUAGCCAUUUCUGAUUCGGUUAGAUUGAGAAUUUGGACAGGUUAAUUUCUUGAUUAGUCCAUGAAUUUACAUAGACAACCAAACUUUAAACAAUGAUGCCAAUCCCUGACAUAUUGACAUGAAAAGGCACUUGUACUGUAUGAAAAGUUCAAUGCUUGGAUGGAGUUGUGCUUGCAUCAGAGUAUUUGUCUGUUUAGAACCAUGAUUCUUUCUUUUCUCUCUCUUUCCUUCCAUAUUUUUUAUAUGCUGCUUUGUAUGGAAUGCUAGAUGCUUCUACUUAUUGGAUCGAUCUCUUCAACAGCACAAGUACUAUGCAUACAUCGCAUUUGCAGUUUUAGAAAGGUUCAGUUUUGUAUAUAAAGCUGUUCUGAUCUCGCAGAAGUCUAAAAUUUCAAAUUUUUUUGUUUUAACUUUUUUCAUGAGAAUAUUAACACCUCAUUGCUUUGAAUUAUUCUAUCCAGGAACUAGUUUGAAUGUGGGCCGGAAGGUUGCCAUAGGUAAGAUCUCUGUCUACCGUUUAUUUAUGUUUCUGUGCUUUGUUACUCACUUCAAUUUCAUGUCUAAAUGUUGUAGAAAUUCUCUCACCAAACUGUUACUGAAAAGGCUAACCAAUUUCUAUAUUCUGCUUUUAAGGUCUUGGGGCAUCUCUUGGUACAUUAGUCACAAUGCUCAUAGCCUUCUUCUUCUGGUACCGCCGCAAGAAAAGGCAAUAUGAAUCCAUUUUCUCUAGAAGCAUCAAAUCGCUACCGUCUUCAAAGGCACAUACGGAGAUGCGAAGUAGCUACAAUGGUGCUCAUCUAUUCUCUUAUGAAGAACUUGAAGAGGCCACUAACAAUUUUGAUAAGACCAGAGAGCUUGGAGAUGGAGGCUUCGGGACAGUAUAUUACGGUAAAGAAAUAAUAAUCACUGUCUUUUGUGUUGUGUUUUAAGGAACAAUUUGUUGAAAAAUUUGCUUCUCCUUGUGUUGUUUCAUCAGGAAAACUUCCAGAUGGGCUUGAAGUUGCAGUCAAGCGCUUAUACGAGAACAAUUUUAAGAGGCUUGAGCAGUUCUUGAAUGAAGUUGAUAUUCUAACUCCCUUGCGCCAUCAAAACCUUGUCCUACUGCAUGGAUGCACCUCUCGGGACAGCCGUGAACUCCUACUAGUAUAUCAGUACAUUCCCAAUGGUACACUUGCUGAUCAUCUUCAUGGUGAAAGAGCAAAGCCUGGUGCACUCCCUUGGUCUACUCGAAUGAAC